GGAUCGAUGAUGACUUAAAGAUUUAUCUAAUUUAAAUCUGAACAAAAUGAGUGACCAAAACACUUCUGUACCACUUCUGUGAGCUGAGGUCCAGCACAGAGACCACUCCAGUCAAACAUGUGUUGCCUGGAGUUGCAACUAGUUGGUCAGUUAGAAGCAACCACAGGGACUGGGGUAUUUGAAAACCACUUGAGUGCAUUUAUUAGAGGAAACGAAUUUUACAUUUGUGUAUAAAAAUUCAAUUGUAGGGUAAAAUGGAAACUCUGAGAGUUUGGUUGGCGGCAUCUAUAUACCAUAGAAACAGAGCCUGGGAAGCAGAACAGUGAGACCCAAGAGAAAUGUUCCUGCCUAUACUUGGUCUGUUCUCACAUUUGCCUGAGCUACUGAUUGAUCUUUUGAGGGUGAUGAGAUGGUCAAAAUCCAAGGAUAUGAUGAGUUUUUACUUCUCAUUUUCUUUUUUUUUUUAUUAUACUUUAAGUUUUGGGGUACAUAUGCAGAACGUGCAGGUUUGUUACAUUGGUAUACACGUGCCAUGGUGGUUUGCUGCACCCAUCAACCCAUCAUCUACAUUAGAUUGGUUUUCACAGAAUUCCAUGGACUUUAACUGCUGAACCAAUGAUGCACUGAUUUUGUCACUUGUACCAGCUAACGCAUCUGGGAGGCAACAAAACAAUACUCUCCUGAGGUUAAUGUGGACCAAAAACUAGAUUUCAUAUAAAAGAGUUUAUUCCUUCUACUUGAGGUGUGACAUGAAGGAAAGUAAUGGAAAUAAUUCUGCCCUCCCAUUCUCAAGGGCCAGGGGGAAUUCAAAUAUUGAACGGAAGUGAUUUUGGAAUUGCAUGGAAUUCUCACUGCCAUCCCAAAGAAAUGCUGAUCUUGUCACUCUUACCUGUUUCAUUCCCUGGGGGCAGAACAAAAGGACGCACUCCAAAGAUCGGCAUGAACCAAGAACUGGGUUUCAUAUAAAAUAUUUUAUUCUGUCCUCUUGAGAUGUGACAUGAGAAAAGUAUUGAGAAUACUUCUAUCACCUCAUCUUCAAGAAUCCGUAGGAAUUCUCCCAUGGUGGACUUUACGGUUAACCUGAACAGGUCUUGGAAAAAGGACUUUAAACAUUCUCCUGUUCUGUGGAAUAAGUAUACUUUUUUCUGGACAUACACCUUGUCAGUUCCAUGUGAUACUAGAGUUGCAUAGAUUUUUAACCUUUACGCCAAUGAAGAUCUGAGGCAAACAUUGCCCCUUUUUUAGAAGUUUGCAUUUGUCACUGAUAACUGUAAUAAUUGAUCUUGUUGAAAAGCCUGGGAAAUGAAGAUCUGAUAUGUCACUUUUACCGGCUUCCUCAACUGAAAAAGAAUACAAUGAAACACGCUGAGAAUUUUUGUGCUUUCUCAGUCUUGCUGAUGAUCUUUCUAUGGGCCUGAAGCGUGGAGAGUGCCAGAGAGGCUGAUCCUCAGCAGUGUGGCAGAGGAAAGUUGGGUGCGACUAAGGGGUAUGCGGUGCCCACAUGCCACUGGGUCCUCAGCAGUACCACCUGAUUGGAAGUGAUAUUGGUGGAAGACAACAUUUUGCCGCUUGGAAUUCUCACCUCCACACCAAAGAAGUACUGUUUUUGUCAUUUGCACCAGCUUCUUUCUCCAGGAAAGAUCAAAACGAUGCACUGCAAGUGUGAUUGGUCCAGAUAGCUGCCUUAUCCAACUGCCUCCUUUGGACCACUUCAUCAUGGGACAGCUUGAUGCAAUCUACUUGACAAGACCCUGGAACCCCACACCCCUCAUGGAACCAGUGUCCACCUCCCAGUCACAGUGUGACCCCAGGGAACUCUUGCCUGCUUGCUUUAAACCCACCACUUAAAAGUCUCCACAGAAAACCUGUUUGAAUAGUACCCUUGACCCAAUAAGGGCAUUGGCCCCUGGGUGUCUCUCUCUCUCUCUCUCUCUCUCUCUCCCUCUCUCUCCCUCUCUCUCUCUCGCUCCCUGACCUCUGCGUGUGGACUCCAGGCAUGCCAUAUACCCCUCAGGACCUGAAGCAAAAGAAUGAAUUAAAGAAAACUCCAGAGAAUGAGCUGACAACCUACUCCCUGGUCAGUGGCUCUCCAUGCCUACCUGUGGUCUCUUGGACACCCUUGCAGAAGAUGACUUCCUGGGAACUCUUCUGGGAGUGAAUGUUAUCAGCAAAUUCCCAAAACAACACCCCUUAGACAAAAAGCCUCCUCACCUAUGCAUUGCCUAGACCACCCACUAAAGGUGAUGGCCACAAAGAGGUGGAUUUGUUGAGUUGGUGCCAUUCCUUCUACUGCCAGCUUCACCAAAACAAUGACACAGUCUUCCUUCCGCAUGGAGACUCUUCUCUUUCCUGUGUUGCAGUGGAUGCCUCCUGCAGAUAAGAAAUGCUUAACUGAGAAAUGCUCAUGUUGGGAUAUCAUCGAUGAGACUUUAAUUUGGGCAUGGUGACUGUUUCCCUUGCUGCCACUUGACUCAAUCCCAGGAGCCUCAGUAGAGGAUAUAAUAUUACACAAGAUGCUCAAAAUGGUGGAAUUGCUCAGUGCUCCCAUAAAUAUACAUUUAUAAUUUUCAUUUGCCACAUGGUAAACUGAAAAAUACAGACUAUAUUAAAAAGAAACUGCAUGAUUUUUUUUCAAAAAUUCAAAGCAUAUUUAAAUAAUAUAUAAAUUAAAUGCCCUCCUCUCUUCCAAUUCUGUCCCUAUAGUUUUCCUCUAUUAAGUGAACUACAUGCAUUCUUUUAGUGGAUAGAUGCACACAAACACACAAGCCAUUAUGGGGAAGGAUCCACGUGUGUGGCCAUAUUGUAACACAUUUUUCUGCAAAUCACCUCUUUCAUUUAACAGCCCUUAUUCAAUGGCCUUUUUCUUUUUCAGUAGUACAUACACAUCUGUGUCAUUUGUUGAAUGACGACAUGAAUGUUUUGUAGAUAAAAUAUAAUUAAAUGUUUUAAGCAUUUCUCACUCAUAGAUAUUUAUGUUAGCACCAAAUUUCUGUGCAAUGAACCUCCCUAUAUAUCAGUAAUUUUGCAUUUGUCUAUAAUAUCAUAAUAAAUUACUUAUCAGUUGAA
This is a long non-coding RNA of Homo sapiens (human), 3066 nucleotides long. Ensembl annotates it as small nucleolar RNA host gene 14. Its record names the gene SNHG14. The record is from Ensembl. NCBI's taxonomy places the organism in Eukaryota, Metazoa, Chordata, Mammalia, Primates, Hominidae.